This is a non-coding RNA of Plectosphaerella plurivora, 79 nucleotides long. Lineage: Eukaryota; Fungi; Ascomycota; Sordariomycetes; Glomerellales; Plectosphaerellaceae. The record is from the annotation of a GenBank genome assembly.
GCUCCGUUGGCGCAAUGGUAGCGCGUGUGUUUUCUAUACCGUUCACACAAGGCUGGGGGUUCGAGUCCCUCACGGAGUU